Molecule: long non-coding RNA, 1066 nt
Filed under: Homo sapiens (human)
Lineage: Eukaryota; Metazoa; Chordata; Mammalia; Primates; Hominidae
Description: non-protein coding lnc-MGLL-5:1
Source: RNAcentral
UUUGUCACUUAUUCACCUUAUCUCAGUUAUGCCAUUUUGGCGUCCACAGUGACAGUCCCCUGGAAGCUGGGGUCAGCCCCCACCCACCCACCGUGACCAUCACCCACAGGGCGUGAGUGUGGGCCUUGCAGGGCCCAGCCGAUGGUUACAGGCUGCAGGCGGGACUAUGGGGCUCCUCCUGAGGCCUGGUGCCUUCCAGCCCCCUGCCCACCAGCUUGGGUACAGCUGCCUGCCUGCCAGAGGCCAAGCAUUCCUAAGCGUGGGCUGGGGGAGGCCCUGCCCCUCUGUAGCAGCAGAGCAGACAGGGCAGUGGGAGAACCAUGUGGGUAGGAGGGCAUCAGGUCUCAAGAGCCUCUCCCCUGCUCAGGACUGGGUCUAGACAAGGCCACGUGUGAUAGGGUGGUAAGCCCUGGGCCAUAUGGAGGAGCCUGGGGCCCAUCUUGGUUCUGCUGCUGAGUUGCUGGGUGGCUUUAGGCAAGUCCCUUCUUGUCCCUUGGUCACUCUGUUUCCUGGCUAGCACUGCCAGAGAGAGGGUGCUCAUCUCCAGGACCUAGGCCACCUGUCAGCACAAACAGAACUUAUUCCAGACAUAAACAUGAGUCUUCUUAUUUCAAACACUGGAGCAACUGAUCAACACCACCACAGCCCAUGCACCCCGAACCUGACUUCACUACCAACCUUGAGCCUGUGCUGUCCUCUCUCUGCUGACGACACUGGUGACGCAGAAAGGAAGUCGGUGGUGUCUGCUCACUUGCGUGCAGUCCUAAGCACAGUAAGAAAAUUCUGAACACAGCUGGGUGAUCUUCAGCCCAGAAGGUGUAGGGGCUUGUGAGCACUAAGUCAGUUUCUGUCCAUGUCUGAUAGCUACCACAAUGUCUCCCCUUGCUAGGGCAGCUGCGAGGAGACGUGUCCAGUGAUGACUGGCAGAAUCUGGACAAACGGACAUCACUGCAAGGGUCUGUCCACCUAGCUUGGCCAGGCUCAGCUUGGCAGAGCUGAUGACCCAAGUGGACUAAACACGGAGCUAGCAGAAACAGGCAGACUCUAAGCCCAACCAGAAGAGUCA